GAUGAACGCUAGCGAUAGGCUUAACACAUGCAAGUCGAGGGGCAGCGAGGGUAGCAAUACCUGUCGGCGACCGGCGCACGGGUGAGUAACGCGUAUGUAACCUGCCCGCAACAGGGGGAUAACCCGGCGAAAGUCGGACUAAUACCGCAUAAAACAGGGGUCCCGCAUGGGAAUAUUUGUUAAAGAUUUAUCGGUUGCGGAUGGGCAUGCGUACCAUUAGGUAGUUGGUGAGGUAACGGCUCACCAAGCCUUCGAUGGUUAGGGGUUCUGAGAGGAAGGUCCCCCACACUGGUACUGAGACACGGACCAGACUCCUACGGGAGGCAGCAGUGAGGAAUAUUGGUCAAUGGGCGAGAGCCUGAACCAGCCAAGUCGCGUGAAGGAUGACUGCCCUAUGGGUUGUAAACUUCUUUUACAAGGGAAUAAAAUGAGAUACGGGUAUUUUAUUGCAUGUACCUUGGGAAUAAGCAUCGGCUAACUCCGUG
Molecule: ribosomal RNA, 485 nt
Filed under: uncultured bacterium
Lineage: Bacteria
Description: partial 16S ribosomal RNA
Rfam family: Bacterial small subunit ribosomal RNA
Source: RNAcentral